CAAGUCUACGAGAAAAGGUAGCAAUAUCCUGAGUAAAGUGGCGCACGGGUGAGUAACACGUAGGCAAUCUGCCUUUAGGACGGGGACAACCUCGAGAAAUCGAGGCUAAUACCCGAUAAUGCAGCGGCACCGCAUGGUGACAGUUGUUAAAGGCCCGCAAGGGCGCCUAUUGAUGAGCCUGCGUCCCAUUAGGUAGUUGGUGAGGUAACGGCCCACCAAGCCUUCGAUGGGUAGCUGGUCUGAGAGGAUGAUCAGCCACACUGGAACUGAGACACGGUCCAGACUCCUGCGGGAGGCAGCAGUGAGGAAUAUUGCGCAAUGGCCGAAAGGCUGACGCAGCGACGCCGCGUGAAGGAUGAAGUCCGUUAGGACGUAAACUUCUUUUGCAGGGGAUGAAUGUGGUGCCUUCGGGUACCAUUGACCGUACCCUGCGAAUAAGGAUCGGCUAACUACGUGCCAGCAGCCGCGGU
This 470-nucleotide ribosomal RNA is filed under the name uncultured bacterium. RNAcentral describes it as "bacterial SSU rRNA". It matches the Rfam family "Bacterial small subunit ribosomal RNA", at positions 58 to 521 of the family's 1533-position model. The record is from RNAcentral.